Notothenia coriiceps (black rockcod) is the source of this 221-nucleotide long non-coding RNA. RefSeq lists it as uncharacterized. The transcript is spliced from 3 exons. The record is from RefSeq and is a predicted model, not a curated record. Lineage: Eukaryota; Metazoa; Chordata; Actinopteri; Perciformes; Nototheniidae.
CCAGCAUCCCAAGGGAGACCUCCCAACAACUUGGCCACCUUCUGCUUGGGCUGCUUCAGAGGAACCAGAAAGACAGGAUGGACUUUGACGCGUUCUUCAGCCAUCCUUUCCUGGUGCCAAUAGUCACCAUAAAAAAAUCGUGCCCGGUGCCGGUGCCUAGCACCUCCAACGCAGUAACGGACAGCUCCUGUGGCAGCUCCCCAUGCAUCCGCUACAACUCC